GGGCCCGCAGCUCAGCCAGGUUAGAGCGCGGGGCUGAUAACCCCGAGGUCCCGGGUUCAAAUCCCGGCGGGCCCA
RNAcentral lists this transfer RNA (75 nucleotides) under Methanopyrus kandleri AV19. It matches the Rfam family "tRNA". From Rfam's summary of the family: Transfer RNA (tRNA) molecules are approximately 80 nucleotides in length. Their secondary structure includes four short double-helical elements and three loops (D, anti-codon, and T loops). Lineage: Archaea; Methanobacteriati; Methanobacteriota; Methanopyri; Methanopyrales; Methanopyraceae. The record is from Rfam by way of RNAcentral.